GGGACAAUGGGCGCAAGCCUGAUCCAGCCAUGCCGCGUGCAGGAAGAAGGCCUUCGGUUGUAAACUGCUUUUGUCAGGGAAGAAAUCCUCUGGGGUUAAUACCUCGGAGGGAUGACGGUACCUGAAGAAUAAGCACCGGCUAACUACGUGCCAGCAGCCGCGGUAAUACGUAGGGUGCGAGCGUUAAUCGGAAUUACUGGGCGUAAAGCGUGCGCAGGCGGCUUUGCAAGACAGAUGUGAAAUCCCCGGGCUCAACCUGGGAACUGCAUUUGUGACUGCAAGGCUAGAGUGCGGCAGAGGGAGAUGGAAUUCCGCGUGUAGCAGUGAAAUGCGUAGAUAUGCGGAGGAACACCGAUGGCGAAGGCAAUCUCCUGGGCCUGCACUGACGCUCAUGCACGAAAGCGUGGGGAGCAAACAGGAUUAGAUACCCUGGUAG
Molecule: ribosomal RNA, 436 nt
Filed under: uncultured bacterium
Lineage: Bacteria
Description: bacterial SSU rRNA
Rfam family: Bacterial small subunit ribosomal RNA
Source: RNAcentral